UUACAAAGUACACAAUGUGCUAUUGCACACGCUGCCCACACCUAGGGAGGCCUGGACUCGUGCAGCUUUGCAGAACGGCUCUGACCCCCCGCCUGCCAUCGCAGCUGAGGGACCAGAAUGAAAAUACAGUCAAUUUUUGUGAUUUCCA
Molecule: long non-coding RNA, 148 nt
Organism: Leopardus geoffroyi (Geoffroy's cat)
Lineage: Eukaryota; Metazoa; Chordata; Mammalia; Carnivora; Felidae
Exons: 2
Source: RefSeq, a predicted model, not a curated record